RNAcentral lists this ribosomal RNA (406 nucleotides) under uncultured bacterium. Its description in RNAcentral is "partial 16S ribosomal RNA". It matches the Rfam family "Bacterial small subunit ribosomal RNA", at positions 30 to 526 of the family's 1533-position model. The record is from RNAcentral.
AUUGAACGCUGGCGGCAGGCCUAACACAUGCAAGUCGAACGAGUGGCGGACGGGUGAGUAAUGUCUGGGAAACUGCCUGAUGGAGGGGGAUAACUACUGGAAACGGUAGCUAAUACCGCAUACCAUCAGAUGUGCCCAGAUGGGAUUAGCUUGUUGGUGGGGUAACGGCACACCAAGGCGACGAUCCCUAGCUGGUCUGAGAGGAUGACCACCCAAAAUGGAACCGCACACAGGGUCAGACUCCUACGGGAGGCCGCAGGGGGGAAGUGUUGAAAAUGGGCGCAAGGCGUAUGCAGCCAUGGCGGGUGUAUGAAGAAGGGCUUCGGGUUGUAAAGUACUUUUCGUGGGGAGGCGUUACCCGCAGAAGAAGCACCCGCUAACUCCGGGCCAGCCGCCGCGGUAAUAC